Long non-coding RNA from Passer domesticus (house sparrow), 452 nucleotides. RefSeq lists it as uncharacterized. The record is from RefSeq and is a predicted model, not a curated record. The transcript has 4 exons. Lineage: Eukaryota; Metazoa; Chordata; Aves; Passeriformes; Passeridae.
UUGGCAUUAUUAUUUAGCCUCUGCACUGCCAGAAGUAUAAAACCCAGAGAAGGGAGAGUCUCCAGCUGCAGCAAUGCUUGAAUGGGAACUGUUUCUGUAAGGCAAGAAGGCUGCUUGGAGUUAUCACCAUCUAGAGACUGGUUUUAUGAGCUCAUCAAUAAGAUGAGGCAUUUCUCUAGGUAAAUGAAGGCUCAGUGAACAGUUACUGUGAUCUGGAAUCUCUGAGAAACACACAGUUUCCUCUUGUGCCAAUGUUUCUGAGUCCUGCUUCAGAUCAUAGAGCUGGAGGAGAAAGAAGAAAAGAGGCAGCUUUUACAACUGCAGUCACUGCAACUAAUUGUUCCUACUAGAGCUGACAGUUUUCUGAGAUGAAAAGGAAGAGAAUGGAAUUAAUCACACAAACUUCAUCAUCCAGUCUGGCAUAACUGAAAGUAUAAUUUUAGGUGUUUCUG